GUCGAGAAUCUUUCACAAUGGGGGCAACCCUGAUGGAGCGACGCCGCGUGGAGGAUAAGGUCUUCGUAUUGUAAACUCCUGUCAUGCGUGAACAAGGUUGCUUGGAUAAUACCUGAGCAAAUUGAUGGUAGCGCAAGAGGAAGAGACGGCUAACUCUGUGCCAGCAGCCGCGGUAAUACAGAGGUCUCAAGCGUUGUUCGGAAUCACUGGGCGUAAAGGGUGCGUAGGUGGCGUGGCAAGUCAGAUGUGAAAGCCCGGGGCUCAACCUCGGAACUGCAUCCGAUACUGCCAUGCUAGAGUACUGGAGGGGUGACUAGAAUUCUCGGUGUAGCAGUGAAAUGCGUAGAUAUCGAGAGGAAUACCAAAGGCGUAGGCAGGUCACUGGACAGUUACUGACACUGAGGCACGAAGGCCAGGGGAGCGAACGGGAUUAGAUACCCGGGUAGUCC
This 449-nucleotide ribosomal RNA is filed under the name uncultured bacterium. RNAcentral describes it as "bacterial SSU rRNA". It matches the Rfam family "Bacterial small subunit ribosomal RNA", at positions 354 to 796 of the family's 1533-position model. The record is from RNAcentral.